UGACAGUACUCCUACGGGGAGGCAGCAGUGGGGGAAUAUUGCACAAUGGGCGCAAGCCUGAUGCAGCCAUGCCGCGUGUGUGAAGAAGGCCUUCGGGUUGUAAAGCACUUUCAGUCGUGAGGAAGGUAGUGUAGUUAAUAGCUGCAUUAUUUGACGUUAGCGACAGAAGAAGCACCGGCUAACUCCGUGCCAGCAGCCGCGGUAAUACGGAGGGUGCGAGCGUUAAUCGGAAUUACUGGGCGUAAAGCGCAUGCAGGUGGUUUGUUAAGUCAGAUGUGAAAGCCCGGGGCGUCAACCUCGGAAUAGCAUUUGAAACUAGGCAGACUAGAGUACUGUAGAGGGGGGUAGGAAUUUCAGGUGUAGCGGUGAAAUGCGUAGAGAUCUGAAGGAAUACCGGUGGCGAAGGCGGCCCCCUCGGACAGAUACUGACACUCAGAUGCGAAAGCGUGGGGAGCAAACAGGAUUAGAUACCCUGGUAG
Molecule: ribosomal RNA, 479 nt
Filed under: uncultured bacterium
Lineage: Bacteria
Description: bacterial SSU rRNA
Rfam family: Bacterial small subunit ribosomal RNA
Source: RNAcentral